GUUUGAUCAUGGCUCAGGACGAACGCUGGCGGCGUGCUUAACACAUGCAAGUCGAACGGUCAGGUCAUGAAGGUUCGCUGGAUUGGCCUGGUAGUGGCGGACGGGUGAGUAACGCGUGAGGACAUGGCUCCAGGAGGGGGAUAACGUUUGGAAACGGACGCUAAGACCCCAUAUGCCGGAAGGUGAAAUUGGGCAACCAGCCUGGAGAGUGACUCGCGUCCUAUCAGCUAGUUGGUGGGGUGAAGGCCUACCAAGGCGAUGACGGGUAGCCGACCUGAGAGGGUGGCCGGCCACACUGGAACUGAGAUACGGUCCAGACUCCUACGGGAGGCAGCAGUGGGGAAUAUUGGGCAAUGGGCGAAAGCCUGACCCAGCGACGCCGCGUGGGGGAAGAAGUCUUUCGGGAUGUAAACCCUUGUUGUACGGGACGAAGGAAGUGACGGUACCGUACGAGGAAGCCCCGGCAAACUACGUGCCAGCAGCCGCGGUAAUACGUAGGGGGCGAGCGUUGUCCGGAAUUACUGGGCGUAAAGCGCACGUAGGCGGGCUGUUAAGUCGGCCGUGAAAGGCACUGGCUCAACCGGUGUUUGUCGGUCGAUACUGGCGGUCUGGAGUAUGGGAGAGGGAACUGGAAUUCCCGGUGUAGCGGUGAAAUGCGUAGAUAUCGGGAGGAACACCAGUGGCGAAGGCGGGUUCCUGGCCCAUUACUGACGCUGAGGUGCGAAAGCCGGGGGAGCGAACGGGAUUAGAUACCCCGGUAGUCCCGGCUGUAAACGAUGGAUGCUAGGUGUGGGGGGGUUCCCCUCUGUGCCGCAGCUAACGCGAUAAGCAUCCCGCCUGGGGAGUACGAUCGCAAGAUUGAAACUUAAAUGAAUUGACG
Molecule: ribosomal RNA, 880 nt
Filed under: uncultured bacterium
Lineage: Bacteria
Description: bacterial SSU rRNA
Rfam family: Bacterial small subunit ribosomal RNA
Source: RNAcentral